CUUGGGUCGGACAUACUUUCUGUGUCCCGUAUACAAUAGUAUAAGUGCAUUUUUUUUUUUUUACUUUGUGUCUUUUCUUUCUCGCGGUCGUCCGUCUGUCUGUCUGUCAUGGAUCGUGUGAAAGCUUUGAUAUACAUAAGGGAGUUUCAGAUCUCCUGAUGUCUUGGGGAUAUCAACCUGACAUUUAUUACACCUGUUCAGUGUGGUGUGAAUUUUUUAAAGUAUAUAUAUACCAAAAUUAUGACUUAGAACAAGAAUUUUGCAGUUAACUAAAAAUAGAAAUGUGUC
Molecule: long non-coding RNA, 288 nt
Filed under: Mytilus galloprovincialis (Mediterranean mussel)
Lineage: Eukaryota; Metazoa; Mollusca; Bivalvia; Mytilida; Mytilidae
Source: RNAcentral